This is a non-coding RNA of Homo sapiens (human), 515 nucleotides long. The record is from RefSeq and is a predicted model, not a curated record. NCBI's taxonomy places the organism in Eukaryota, Metazoa, Chordata, Mammalia, Primates, Hominidae.
ACGGGGACCCACCAGCUUGUCUGCCGCCAUCUGGGGUACAGUGCUGGAAGCGGGGAUACAGGGACAAAUAAGACACAGAUCCUGUUCCUAAAGAGUUUUUUGAGAUGAAGUCUCGUUCUUGUCCCCCAGGCUGGAGUGCAAUGGCAUGAUCUCAGCUCACUGCAACCUCUGCCUCCCGGGUUCAAGCAAUUCUCCUGUCUCAGCCUCCUGAGUAGCUGGAUUACAGAGUCUUUUCUAAGGCACCAACUACUUCCUUCAAGCAGCAGCCAGAGAUCUUUGCUUAAUGGCUGAGAAACACAGAGGAGAGACCCAGAGAGAAGGAGAAGGCCGCAUGAAGAUGGAGCAGAGACUGGAGUUAUUCAGCCAAGUCAAGGAAUGCCUGGAGCACCAGAAGCCGGAAGAGGCAAGGAAGGAUCCUCCCUUAGAGCAUUUGGAAGAGUGUGGCCCUGCCAACACCUUGACUUCAAACUUCUGGCCUCCAUAACUAUGAAAUAAAUUCUUGUUGUUUUAAGCCA